This 2073-nucleotide unclassified non-coding RNA is filed under the name Leishmania donovani. Its description in RNAcentral is "gene:LdHU3.25.1940(CDS-product:hypothetical_prote in_conserved)". The record is from RNAcentral. Lineage: Eukaryota; Euglenozoa; Kinetoplastea; Trypanosomatida; Trypanosomatidae.
ACGGUGCCGAGCGCGCGGCAGAGCUCAUUUCGUGAAGCUUCAUUGAUACACGCGUAGGCACAGCACGCGCGCAUAUACGCCAAGACAGCUAGCGGCGCACAGACACACACACGUACACUGACGGACGCGUACGCACCCUCUCCAAGGUGGCACCCACACGCUACCCGGUCAGCACACCACCACACCCAGAACUCCUCGCCACGAAACGAGUUCAUCUUUCUUUGCUUCUCUCGGACACAAGCGCGUCAAUGGAAAUUUCGUCCUCAUCUCUCAAGUCCUUCAUAGAGCCGCUCAUAGACCUCAUUCAUGGAGACUUGGUGCUGGAGGACAUCUGCUGCCAACGCGUCGCAGGUGCGUUCGUUGAGCAUCAUGAGGCGGCGCUGCGCCGCGUAGUUACCAGCCACACGCUCCCUAGCGGGCUUGAAAAAGCGAUAGAGUCGUACUGUGUGCGCAGUUACCUGCUCAACGCGCCUGAGCUCCUCACGGAGUCGCGCGAGGUGGCGCAGAUGCUACAACGGCUCGCCGACACCCUCUUUGAAGCCGCCAGAGCCCCGAAUGGAGAGCAGCAGAGCGGGAGGCACGACAUAGACAGCGUGUGCAUCGAGGAUGAAGGUGCGCGGUCGCCGUUGGCAGGUGUCGCCGAGGUGAAAGCUGGCUCCGCCGCUUAUCUGCUUGCUACGUCGGCAGAAAUGAUCAAGGAGGAUGUUGCAGCCUUGCAGACGCGGCUGGAAACGCAGCGCUGCGCACGCCUUAUCGACUCCCUCGGAGAGGUCGUCCUGGGGCACAUCAUGUACGCCGCCCAGCAGUGUGCGCAGCAAGCACAGGAGUACCUUGACGGCGCAUCCUGGCACUGCACUCGGGUGGCACACGCUUCCUACCACGCAGCACUGCACCAAUUCGUGAAGUCCGCCGUCGAGCACCGCGAAGCGCGCAAGCGAGAGCGGGACGCGGUGCAGGAAGCGGAGGUGCAAGCUCUUCUGUUCGGCAGCGACCACGCCAUGGUGGAGCCAGCGACACGCGACGAAGGUAGAUACGAGGUGGUGGAGGAUGACCUCGUCGCGGUCCGGGAGUCGGCCCAGCAUCAUGCCCCUCCAGCCCCACCUGAGUCACCUGACACUGACUUUGCAACACAGGUGCAGGCCGCCAUGGAGAGCAUGCCCUCCUCUCCACAGCCACCUCCACAGCCCCUGUUGAAACGCCCUAUCCCGCAGACCACGAGCACUAGCAGGGGGCGUGUGCUGCACUCCGUGAACGACUCCGUCGCAGAGCAGUGUGAAGCGUUGGUACACAUGACGCCACCUGCGACUCUGCAAGAUCAGCAGCAGCAGCAGUCAACACUGGUGCAGUCCUCUGCACCGCACUCAAGCACACUCGCGGCGGCGGAAGGGCGGACAAGUGCGCCGGUCGAACCCGCCCUGAGUCCAGAGAUCGUUGUUGACCCCUUCUCGCUUGCGGCGGCCUCGAGCUCCCUCGUCACCUCCUCUGAAACAGAAGCGCCGCAGGAAAACGACAACGCAGCUCGGCCGCCUCACCGGAAGCUGCGCAAGGCGGACACCGUUUUCAUUGGCGCCUCGGAGACGAGUGUCCUGCGCAUGAUGGAGCACGCAAACGACGACGACGGCAGUGAGAGCUGUCAUCUGUUGUCGACACCGACGUCCGCCUCCGCCUCCAUGCCGUCCUCCACGCUUCCGAUCGGCGCGCAGCGACCGCACGACAGCGGCGGUACGACGGGCGGCACCGUCCCCUCCGCCACCUCGUCAAGCGUAGCCGCUGUAGAUGCCUGGGAAGGGGUGCGGCGAUGUCUGCAGAGGCAAGAUGCCGAGCCCCGCUCCUACUUCCUAUGCGGUGCGACACAUCGCUUUGAGCCGUGUGUAGCGAGAGGCUUCUUUUGAAGGGGCUGGCUCGUGCAGGCGGGAGAGAAGGCCGGGGCACACGCCAAUGCGACCGCAGAACAACGCGCACGCACGUCCACUGACAGAGCGACCCAGACUUGACUUGAUGAAACGUCGUCCCUGUCAGCCGACACCAACGUAGAUGUUCUUCAGCUGUGUUUUACAUUGCUUGGAUGAGGUG